GAUUAACGCUGGCGGCGUGCAUAACACAUGCAAGUCGAACGAUGAAACUUAACUGAUUUCUUCGGAAUGAUUUUAAGUGGAUUAGUGGCGGACGGGUGAGUAACGCGUGAGUAACCUGCCUUGGAGAAGGGGAUAGCCUUUGGAAACGAAGAAUAAUACCCUAUGAUAUGAUAAUAUCUCAUGAUAUUAUCAUCAAAGAUUUAUCGCUCUAAGAUGGGCUUGCGUCUGAUUAGUUAGUUGGUGAGGUAACAGCUCACCAAGGCAGCGAUCAGUAGCCGGCUUGAGAGAGUGUACGGCCCCAUUGGGACUGAGACACGGCCCAGACUCCUACGGGAGGCAGCAGUGGGGAAUUUUGCACAAUGGGGGAAACCCUGAUGCAGCGACGCCGCGUGAUUUAGAAGGCCUUCGGGUUGUAAAAAUCUUUUGUAUGGGAAGAAAAUGACAGUACCAUACGAAUAAGGACCGGCUAAUUACGUG
This 477-nucleotide ribosomal RNA is filed under the name uncultured bacterium. RNAcentral describes it as "partial 16S ribosomal RNA". It matches the Rfam family "Bacterial small subunit ribosomal RNA", at positions 28 to 507 of the family's 1533-position model. The record is from RNAcentral.